RNAcentral lists this ribosomal RNA (771 nucleotides) under uncultured bacterium. RNAcentral describes it as "bacterial SSU rRNA". It matches the Rfam family "Bacterial small subunit ribosomal RNA", at positions 66 to 819 of the family's 1533-position model. The record is from RNAcentral.
ACGCGAAUCUCCCUUCGGGGAGAAGUAGAGUGGCGCACGGGUGAGUAACACGUAGGUAAUCUACCUCUGGGUGGGGAAUAACAGUCGGAAACGGCUGCUAAUACCGCAUAACGCAGCGGCACCACAUGGUGACAGUUGUUAAAGCGGGGGAACUUCGGUCCUCGCGCCUGGAGAGGAGCCUGCGGCGGAUUAGCUAGUUGGUAGGGUAACGGCCUACCAAGGCUUCGAUCCGUAGCCGGCCUGAGAGGGCGGUCGGCCACACUGGCACUGACAUACGGGCCAGACUCCUACGGGAGGCAGCAGUCGGGAAUUUUGGGCAAUGGGCGAAAGCCUGACCCAGCAACGCCGCGUGAAGGAUGAAGUUUCUCGGAAUGUAAACUUCACAAGAAUGGGAAGAAUAAGUCUGGGCUAAUACCCCUGACGAUGACGGUACCAUUUGUAAGCUCCGGCUAACUCCGUGCCAGCAGCCGCGGUAAUACGGGGGGAGCAAGCGUUGUUCGGAUUUACUGGGCGUAAAGGGCGCGUAGGCGGCGCAACAAGUCACUUGUGAAAUCUCCGGGCUUAACUCGGAGCGGUCAAGUGAUACUGUCGUGCUAGAGUGCGGAAGGGGCUACUGGAAUUCUCGGUGUAGCGGUGAAAUGCGUAGAUAUCGAGAGGAACACCUGCGGCGAAGGCGGGUAGCUGGGCCGACACUGACGCUGAGGCGCGAAAGCUAGGGGAGCGAACGGGGAUAGAUACCCCGGUAGUCCUAGCCUAAACGAUGGAUGCUUG